Molecule: long non-coding RNA, 546 nt
Organism: Panicum virgatum (switchgrass)
Lineage: Eukaryota; Viridiplantae; Streptophyta; Magnoliopsida; Poales; Poaceae
Exons: 2
Source: RefSeq, a predicted model, not a curated record
UCAGAUUGAAUCGAUGGGAGCAUUGAGGCAUCAAAUUAUGGAGCACCGUCCUUCUACAACUAGUCAACCUGAGUUCAGCGCUGGGAAUCGACGGAUCGCUGAUGCUGCUGCACAAGAACAGAGGCCAGGACUGGCAACGGCGGCAAGGUGCAGCAAGGGCCGUGUUCUGCACCGCAACAGUUUCUCUCUUGCACCAUAUCAACGAGGCAGCUGCAGCUACGACCACAAGGACAAGACCGAGGAGUAGUAGUGGCGCACAAGCCAUUAGCAAGCUCAAACAACUGCACGACAUGAUAUUUAUGGAGUAAUAAUUUACGUGUAGCUUGAAACACUUAAAAUACAUGUACUACUGAGCAUGUGCUGAUCAAGCUAAAAUUUUGCAUGAAAAUAAUGAUAGCAUGAUGUACUCCGUAGCUAUCACAAGUUUAGUGCAAAACAUAUGUGCAUGCAUCAAAGAAUUUGAGAUUUCUUACUCUGUAAAAUUGCAUGCAUCAUAUAGAAUUUGCACCAAAAUAUGUGCAUAUUAUCUAUCAUUCAUUUUUUUUA